UAUUUCGAUCAGAGUUUAUUUUAAUUUAAAAUGCGUCUGUCUUUGCAAGAGUCGGUAAAUGUUAUCAAAAUUUUUUAUGAAUGUUUUAAAAAUGGUACUAUAGCUGCAAGGCUGUAUGCUCAACGUUUUUCUCAAAACCGGCGUCUGAGUAGAGGCAUAUUUCUUCAUUUGGCCCGUCGUUUUCGGACAACAGGUAGUGUAGUGCAUCCAACCCCUACUGUAGACAAGGUCGCAGGAGAACGGAGGAAAACAUAAUAAAUUGUUUGGCCUAUGUAGAAUUUGAUCCGCACAAGCAUCAGAACUAUUUCAGGCGAUUUAGGCAUACCUCGUUCUGUAGUUCACAGAAUUUUGCAGGAACACAGAUUUCAUCCAUUCCAUACAGUACUCCACCAGGCAUUAAAUCUAGAAGACUAUGACAGAAGACUAGAUGAUUGUCAUUGGAUGGAGAAUAUGUUGCUCGAAAAUCCAAAUUUUCUUAACGAAAUUUUAUGGACAGACGAAGCAACGUUCAAUAGUGACGGAGGAAUUAACAAACAUAAUAUGCACUAUUGGUCUGAAACUAACCCUCGUUGAAUGCGCGAGAUCCAGCAUCAGGGAAGGUGGAGUGUUAAUGUCUGGUGCGGUGUAAUAGGAUCUCAGGUUAUAGGUCCAUUUUUAUUUGAUGAGAGCCUAACUGGAGAACGAUAUCUUGGAUUUUUAAGAAAUGAGCUCCCAGCAUUAUUAGAAGAGGUGCCUCUGGUUAUAAGAGCCAACAUGUUUUUACAACAUGACGGAUGCCCGGCUCAUUUCGCGGUACAAGUGCGAACGUUCCUUAAUCAGCGGUACCCUGAUCGGUGGAUUGGCAGAGGUAGCUUUUUCCCUUGGCCGGCAAGAUCGUCAGAUUUAACCUGCCUUGACUUUUAUUUAUGGGGUAGAAUAAAAGCCAUUGUAUUUUCUUCGAUUCCUACCAAUAGAGAAAAUAUGAAACAGCGAAUAAGGGGCGCUAUUCGGAGUUUACCAGCCGCAGAAAUAGAGGCAGCCGUGGAAUCAACCCGACGAAGAGUUCAAAAUUGUAUAGAACAAGACGGACGACAAUUCGAACACCUCGGCAGGUAUUAGAUUAGUGUAGGGAUUAAAAUAAUAUUAUUUUUUAUUCCAUUUAAAAUAAGCAAGAUUUGUAUCUUUUUUCAGUUUAAUCGGUACCAAGUGCCAAAACUAUCAAAAAAUUUUUGUCGUGUUACAAUGACGCGUCAACAUUGAUCAAUAUUUAAAACGUUCCUUUGCAUAGUUUUCCUAGUUUUCCCAUAAACAUUGAUUUAUUACCUGAUUUAUUAUCAAUGAAACUUCCUGUAUAAAGAAGUGUAUAAAUAAACGCCACCUUCCGGAAUUUCUACAAAGCUGGUAUACCAAGAUUGUUUCUCUACACAAAGAUUCAUUUAGACACCAAUUUUUUUAACCCGUCUGGUAAAU
Long non-coding RNA from Anthonomus grandis grandis, 1449 nucleotides. RefSeq lists it as uncharacterized. The transcript has 3 exons. NCBI's taxonomy places the organism in Eukaryota, Metazoa, Arthropoda, Insecta, Coleoptera, Curculionidae. The record is from RefSeq and is a predicted model, not a curated record.